GACGAACGCUGGCGGCGUGCUUAACACAUGCAAGUCGAACGGAAAGGCCCUGCUUUUGUGGGGUGCUCGAGUGGCGAACGGGUGAGUAACACGUGAGUAACCUGCCCUUGACUUUGGGAUAACUUCAGGAAACUGGGGCUAAUACCGGAUAGGAGCUCCUGCUGCAUGGUGGGGGUUGGAAAGUUUCGGCGGUUGGGGAUGGACUCGCGGCUUAUCAGCUUGUUGGUGGGGUAGUGGCUUACCAAGGCUUUGACGGGUAGCCGGCCUGAGAGGGUGACCGGCCACAUUGGGACUGAGAUACGGCCCAGACUCCGACGGGAGGCAGCAGUGGGGAAUAUUGCACAAUGGGCGGAAGCCUGAUGCAGCAACGCCGCGUGCGGGAUGACGGCCUUCGGGUUGUAAACCGCUUUCGCCUGUGACGAAGCGUGAGUGACGGGAAUGGGUAAAGAAGCACCGGCUAACUACGU
Molecule: ribosomal RNA, 467 nt
Filed under: uncultured bacterium
Lineage: Bacteria
Description: partial 16S ribosomal RNA
Rfam family: Bacterial small subunit ribosomal RNA
Source: RNAcentral